AUUGAACGCUGGCGGCAGGCCUAACACAUGCAAGUCGGACGGUAGCACAGAGGAGCUUGCUCCUCGGGUGACGAGUGGCGGACGGGUGAGUAAUGUCUGGGGAUCUGCCCGAUAGAGGGGGAUAACCACGGGAAACGGUGGCUAAUACCGCAUAACGUCGCAAGACCAAAGAGGGGGACCUUCGGGCCUCUCACGAUCGGAUGAACCCAGAUGGGAUUAGCUAGUAGGCGGGGUAAUGGCCCACCUAGGCGACGAUCCCUAGCUGGUCUGAGAGGAUGACCAGCCACACUGGAACUGGGACACGGUCCAGACUCCUACGGGAGGCAGCAGUGGGGAAUAUUGCACAAUGGGCGCAAGCCUGAUGCAGCCAUGCCGCGUGUAUGAAGAAGGCCUUCGGGUUGUAAAGUACUUUCAGCGGGGAGGAAGGCGAUAAGGUUAAUAACCUUGUCGAUUGACGUUACCCGCAGAAGAAGCACCGGCUAACUCCGUGCCAGCAGCCGCCGUAA
Molecule: ribosomal RNA, 506 nt
Filed under: uncultured bacterium
Lineage: Bacteria
Description: partial 16S ribosomal RNA
Rfam family: Bacterial small subunit ribosomal RNA
Source: RNAcentral